This 481-nucleotide ribosomal RNA is filed under the name uncultured bacterium. RNAcentral describes it as "bacterial SSU rRNA". It matches the Rfam family "Bacterial small subunit ribosomal RNA", at positions 28 to 507 of the family's 1533-position model. The record is from RNAcentral.
GAUGAACGCUAGCGGGAGGCCUAACACAUGCAAGCCGAGGCGGUUAUUGUUUCUUCGGAAAUGAGAGAGCGGCGUACGGGUGCGGAACACGUAUGCAACCUACCUUCAACUGGGGGGAUAGCCUUCCGAAAGGGAGAUUAAUACCGCAUAAUAUAAUGAAACGGCAUCGUUUUAUUAUCAAACGUCAGGGUUGAAGAUGGGCAUGCGUCCGAUUAGCUAGUUGGUGUGGUAACGGCACACCAAGGCGACGAUCGGUAGGGGAUCUGAGAGGAUGACCCCCCACACUGGUACUGAGACACGGACCAGACUCCUACGGGAGGCAGCAGUAAGGAAUAUUGGUCAAUGGACGAAAGUCUGAACCAGCCAUGCCGCGUGCAGGAAGACGGUCCUCUGGAUUGUAAACUGCUUUUGUUAGGGAAGAAACCCUCGGAUGCGUUCGAGGCUGACGGUACCUAAAGAAUAAGGAUCGGCUAACUCCGUG